UGGGGAAUUUUGGACAAUGGGCGCAAGCCUGAUCCAGCAAUGCCGCGUGCAGGAUGAAGGCCUUCGGGUUGUAAACCGCUUUUGUCAGGGAAGAAACGAGUUUCUCUAAUACAGAGACUUAAUGACGGUACCUGAAGAAUAAGCACCGGCUAACUACGUGCCAGCAGCCGCGGUAAUACAGAGGGUGCAAGCGUUAAUCGGAAUUACUGGGCGUAAAGCGCGCGUAGGUGGUUUGUUAAGUUGGAUGUGAAAGCCCCGGGCUCAACCUGGGAACUGCAUCCAAAACUGGCAAGCUAGAGUAUGGUAGAGGGUGGUGGAAUUUCCUGUGUAGCGGUGAAAUGCGUAGAUAUGCGGAGGAACAUCGAUGGCGAAGGCAAUCCCCUGGGCCUGUACUGACGCUCAUGCACGAAAGCGUGGGGAGCAAACA
RNAcentral lists this ribosomal RNA (427 nucleotides) under uncultured bacterium. Its description in RNAcentral is "bacterial SSU rRNA". It matches the Rfam family "Bacterial small subunit ribosomal RNA", at positions 355 to 774 of the family's 1533-position model. The record is from RNAcentral.